RNAcentral lists this long non-coding RNA (336 nucleotides) under Vitis vinifera (wine grape). Its description in RNAcentral is "long non-coding RNA (VVIN_LNC003700)". Lineage: Eukaryota; Viridiplantae; Streptophyta; Magnoliopsida; Vitales; Vitaceae. The record is from RNAcentral.
AUUUGCAUUGGCAUGCUGCUUGGGAGCAUCUCUGGAGGAGAGGCAUUUGUUGGUUGGGCUGGUGCAGAGUAGGGAGGGUACACUGUUGUCGUUGGGGGUCGGUUCUGAGGUUGCAUAGAUGGUUGUUGCGGCAUCUGUACCUGCUGAGGCAUCUGCUGUGGCAUUUGCUGAGUCAUCUGCUGAGGCCAUUGCUGCUGGUACUGAGGAAAAGAGGGGACUUGGGGUGCUUGAUUCACCUGAGAUUGUGCUGGCUGUGGUGCCACCCUAGGGAUGUCCUGCAGUUGCUGUGUCCGGUAUUGAGGAUCAGAUGGCAGAUAUUGACUCUGAGGGUGUUGG